UAAUUCACUUAAUUAAGUCAUGUGAUCGGGUCAGAUAAUGUUGCACUAUUGCACAUGGGGGGCACUAUUGAGAAGCCAACAUGUAAACUAUGUUGGCUUGUGACUUGUGUUUUUAAUUAAAUAAUUAUCUAAAAAGCAAAGAGUUCAACGCUUUUUACACAAAUACUGCUGAGCAUUUGGCCGUAGUGCAAACACAGCUAUGCCUAUGUUUUUAUUUAUUUUCAUCGAAAUGCCCUAGCCAAAAGAUAAGACGUUCUCUAAAUCAUAAGUGCAGCAACCUUUCUAGCCAGACCAUCGUGGUUAUUAAAUAAAGAAGAUAAGGACUAUUAAAAGAUAAAGGACCCUGGCUGAAAAGUUCAUUUGCCGUUCUGCUAGUCUUUUCCCUUUACUUGGAAAAUUGCUAUGUGAGAGAGUGCUUUCGCCCCGCUUCCAAUAUGUUUUCGUACUAGCCCCUGACUUUCUGAAAGUCAUAAAAGCUUUCAGAAUUUUUCUAACUUCGUAACUUAACUUUCUGUAUUUUUAUACAAUUAUCCCUGAUAUUUUAUCUUUCUUUAGAGGUAUAUUUAAAGCCAUUUAUGUAUACACAGAUGUUCCCUGAAAACAAAACUAAGGAAGACAUAUGCUGGUGAUGAAUACAUAUUAAAUGAAGAUGAGUAUUUAUUAGAGACGAUGGGCUCAGAAAAGCCAACGCAGUCUUAGCUGGUCCCAACGUCUAUAUGAUCCAGAAAGAUCGACAGAAUAUGCUGAUUUUUUUCAUAUUAACAACUCUUGUAAUGUUCCAUUAUGCUGACACAAAAUGCAGCCAAAAACUUAAUCAAUGGAAAUCCGCUAAUCCUAUUGAUCAGAGUUUGUAUCUUGGCGAAUGGAUAGUUUUCGACUGUCAGUUGGACAAUAAUCUUACCAAUGUUUCGUUGUGGCAGACCAAUAUAAUUGGUAAAUUGAAGAAACGAAUUUCAAAUGGGAAGAAAAUUAGAAAAUUCGGUGGCCAAUAUUUUAAUGUAACAAAUCUUAGCAUUUCUGAUCAAGGUGUUUACGAAUGCCGGGCUUGCGGUCAAACGAACAACAUCAAAGGUGAUGUACAGUUGUUUGAUAAAAACCACGGGGUGGCAUUUCAAAGGCCAAAUAUAACAAAUAAGAUUUAUAAGGCCAUUGAAUAUGGGACGAUGGUACGGCUUGUGUGUACGGUAAUCGGACAUUAUACUUUAGACUGGUAUAAAGAUGGAUCAUCUAAACAUCUCAGUUACAUGACGAUUCAAGAGUUGGUAAAAAUAGCGGCUUUGACUAUAGAAAGUUUCACAGAAUCUGAUGACGGCGUUUAUUCAUGUAAAGCACAGAGAACGAGUGUUCUUUGGGAGGCUGAAGACAGAAUUUACCUCAAUGCUGAAGAAGUGAAACCUGUGGUAUAUCGGGAUAAAACCCAAUACAGAAAAAGGCGAGUGGAUCAGGAUAGCCCACUGUAUCUGAAAUGUGAAGUUAGUCAAUCCAAUCCAAAACCAGAGUGGGAAUGGUUUGAAUGCGUUAAUAACUUGUUCAACUGCGGCAAUGAUUCUCAAAGGUGGUUUCCACUGAAAGAAGAGUCGCCCAGAUCGAAUAGCUCUCUUGUUAUUAAAAAACAAGAGUUUCAAUACGUCAGCUAUAGGUGUAUUGCACGGAAUGAAAUGGGUGAAGACAGUUUUACCUGGAAUUUCGUAUUCGACGAAAGAGGUAUAUCUUAUAUGAAAACAACAAUCAACGAAAAAAUUCCGAAGUAUGAAACUGCUGGUAUCAACAUCACCGUCAUGUGUGAGUGUAAUGGAUCAGUAAUGAUGGAGUGGACGAAAGAUGGACACAAAUUGCCUGCUGUCGAUGCUACGUCUUCAGAGAGAUCCAAUAUUACACGAAAGAUUCUGAUGAUCAAGAAUUUCAGUAAAACUGAUGAAGGACGGUAUGAAUGUCGUGUUAAGCACAGCAAGUACAAUUGGACUAAUUUUGAUUAUGUUAAUCUAAGUAUGAAAGUCAGCCCAAUAAUAAAAGCAUCAGAAAACAAGGAUGAUAAGCUUAGCCAACACGCUUUCCGUAAAGGAUUAAAACUACAUUGUUAUAUGAUAGAAAAAGGAAUUCCUCGAGCCAACCUGGUGUGGGAAAAGUGUAUUUGUGAUGCUCUGUGUUCUCAAUGUACACAUUGGUCAAAAUUGCAAAAUACUGCUAUACAUAUAGUGAACUUAUUUAGACGUAAAAGCAUAUUGACUAUCCAAUCACAAACAUCUGAACGAGUGAAUUACCGUUGUAAGGCAGAAAAUCUUGUCGGAAAAGAUGAACGUCUGUGGACUAUAUGGAGGAAAGGGGUUACAGAUUUGACAUCGAAAAGUACCGACGCUUACGUGGCAAUAAUCGUGAGCAUCGCCACUGCUAUGUUUGCAUUGUUGUUUAUUAUUGCCGUUGUUCUUUAUAAAAGGAAGAAACGUUAUGGAAAGUUGUAUAUUUUCACCAAUCCACCAUUGCCUGAUUAUAUUGAAAGAAUAGAUGGGACGCAACUGCUCGUGGAGCAAACCAAGAAACUACCAUAUUUAGACGAAUGGGAGUUUCCAAGAGAACGUGUUUUUAUCGAACGUACUUUAGGGUAUGGUGCCUUUGGCCAGGUAUGCCUAGCUAAAGUGAUUGGUAUAUCAGCUUUUAAUCCACGGAGAGCUUUAAACGGAGAAUCAAGAUGGACGUUUUUCACAAAGAUGGUAAACAGAAACCGUUAUCCAUACCUGAACUGUCCGAUAAUCACGGAAACGGCAGUUAAGAUGCUUAAUGAUAACUGGAAUGUAGGUGAUUUGGAGGACCUGUUGAGCGAACUGAAAAUUCUUAUUCACGUUGGAAAACAUAAGAAUGUAGUCAACAUACUUGCUGCUUGCACUAACGGACAUCGCAGUAAAACGUGGAUCAUUAUGGAAUACUGCCCGUAUGGUAAUUUGUCUGAAUUUCUCAGAAGCAGACGAGAAUUGUAUAAAGCCGAGUGGUUGAAGUUAACUUCAGAUUUUAACAGCAAACUGAGUAUAAGUGAUCUUGUAGCGAUUGCUGUCCAGGUUGCAAACGGAAUGGAGUUCUUGAUUUCGAGAAAGUGCAUUCAUCGUGAUUUAGCAGCAAGGAAUAUUUUGAUGGGUGAGAAUUUCGUCCCGAAGAUUGCUGAUUUCGGCCUUGCGCGUAAUAUUUACAAGGGUGGUGUCUAUCUUAAGAAAAAAUCGGGGCUAGUUCCUGUAAAAUGGAUGUCAGUUGAAGCAUUACGAGAUCGUGUGUUCUCGGAAAAGUCAGACGUAUAUUUCAGAUGUUACUGCUGUACCUUGUUAUGUAACUAGCUCGUCUGUUUGUUUUAUUUCAAGAUGGUCAUUUGGUAUUGUUCUUUGGGAAAUGUUUACCCUCGGGGGUUCUCCAUAUCCCGGGAUACACUCAGUGGAUAUUUGUGAGUACUUGUGCAAU
RNAcentral lists this unclassified non-coding RNA (3441 nucleotides) under Dendronephthya gigantea. RNAcentral describes it as "fibroblast growth factor receptor 4-like, transcript variant X1". The record is from RNAcentral. Lineage: Eukaryota; Metazoa; Cnidaria; Anthozoa; Malacalcyonacea; Nephtheidae.